Molecule: ribosomal RNA, 506 nt
Filed under: uncultured bacterium
Lineage: Bacteria
Description: partial 16S ribosomal RNA
Rfam family: Bacterial small subunit ribosomal RNA
Source: RNAcentral
AGUGAGCGCUGGCGGUAGGCCUAACACAUGCAAGUCGAACGGCAGCACAGAGGAGCUUGCUCCUUGGGUGGCGAGUGGCGGACGGGUGAGGAAUACAUCGGAAUCUACUCUGUCGUGGGGGAUAACGUAGGGAAACUUACGCUAAUACCGCAUACGACCUACGGGUGAAAGCAGGGGAUCUUCGGACCUUGCGCGAUUGAAUGAGCCGAUGUCGGAUUAGCUAGUUGGCGGGGUAAAGGCCCACCAAGGCGACGAUCCGUAGCUGGUCUGAGAGGAUGAUCAGCCACACUGGAACUGAGACACGGUCCAGACUCCUACGGGAGGCAGCAGUGGGGAAUAUUGGACAAUGGGCGCAAGCCUGAUCCAGCCAUACCGCGUGGGUGAAGAAGGCCUUCGGGUUGUAAAGCCCUUUUGUUGGGAAAGAAAUCCAUCUGGUUAAUACCCGGGUGGGAUGACGGUACCCAAAGAAUAAGCACCGGCUAACUUCGUGCCAGCCGCCGCCGUAA